RNAcentral lists this ribosomal RNA (279 nucleotides) under uncultured bacterium. RNAcentral describes it as "partial 16S ribosomal RNA". It matches the Rfam family "Bacterial small subunit ribosomal RNA", at positions 506 to 784 of the family's 1533-position model. The record is from RNAcentral.
UGCCAGCAGCCGCGGUAAUACGGAGGGUGCGAGCGUUGUCCGGAAUUAUUGGGUUUAAAGGGUACGUAGGCGGUUGAAUAAGUCUAAGUUGAAAUGCUGCAGCUUAACUGUAGCACUGGCUUGGAUACUGUUCAACUUGAGUAUUGUAGAGGUAGGCGGAAUUUAUGAUGUAGCGGUGAAAUGCAUAGAUAUCAUAAAGAACUCCAAUUGCGAAGGCAGCUUACUGGACAAUAACUGACGCUGAUGUACGAAAGCGUGGGUAGCGAACAGGAUUAGAUA